UAUUUUGCUAUGAAUAGAAGUAGUAAUAAUAAAUUGUAUCUUUAGAGAGCUAUUGGUUGCUGUAAAAUAGUGUUACUUUAUUAUGAACUUGUCUAGGAGCUUACUUGUUAAAAACAAGUACGGGUAAAUAUCCGUUAAAAAUAUGAAGUGGGAAGAUUAAAUUAUAUUUUUUCUUCUAAUAAGAGUGGUACCGCGGAAAUUUUGCUUUCGUCUCUUAA
RNAcentral lists this non-coding RNA (218 nucleotides) under Clostridium taeniosporum. Its description in RNAcentral is "T-box sequence". It matches the Rfam family "T-box leader". From Rfam's summary of the family: Uncharged tRNA acts as the effector for transcription antitermination of genes in the T-box leader family. Lineage: Bacteria; Bacillati; Bacillota; Clostridia; Eubacteriales; Clostridiaceae. The record is from RNAcentral.